RNAcentral lists this unclassified non-coding RNA (291 nucleotides) under uncultured Dioszegia. Its description in RNAcentral is "sequence contains ITS1". The stretch from base 1 to 105 matches the Rfam family "5.8S ribosomal RNA", at positions 50 to 154 of the family's 154-position model. Lineage: Eukaryota; Fungi; Basidiomycota; Tremellomycetes; Tremellales; Bulleribasidiaceae. The record is from RNAcentral.
GAAAUGCGAUAAGUAAUGUGAAUUGCAGAAUUCAGUGAAUCAUCGAAUCUUUGAACGCACCUUGCGCCCUUUGGUAUUCCGAAGGGCAUGCCUGUUUGAGUGUCAUAUAAACCUCACCUCUACUGUUUUUCAUUAGACAUGUGGACCGGUGCUUUGGGCGUCUGCCGUUUACUCUGGCUCGCCUUAAAUGUCUAAGUGGAAUGCGUAAUAAGUUCUUUCGCAACCCUCCACUCUAAUCCAACACAUUUAUAUUCUGACCUCAAAUCAGGUAGGACUACCCGCUGAACUUAA